RNAcentral lists this unclassified non-coding RNA (349 nucleotides) under uncultured fungus. Its description in RNAcentral is "partial contains small subunit ribosomal RNA, internal transcribed spacer 1, and 5.8S ribosomal RNA". The stretch from base 1 to 73 matches the Rfam family "Eukaryotic small subunit ribosomal RNA", at positions 1759 to 1831 of the family's 1831-position model. The record is from RNAcentral. Lineage: Eukaryota; Fungi.
GCAAACUUGGUCAUUUAGAGGAAGUAAAAGUCGUAACAAGGUUUCCGUAGGUGAACCUGCGGAAGGAUCAUUAAAUAAUAGCGUGCGAAAGCGUGCUUUAAACUCUUCUCACAAACCUGAGAAUCAUCUUUCGAGGUGGUUUGAUGGCGCGUGCAGAGUCCCAACCCUUUGUGAACCCAUAACCUUUUUGCUUCGGUAGCACGUUUCCUUUUGGAGGCGGUAAGGCUGCCGAUAGCCCAAUUAUAAACUAUUUGUUUAAAAAUCAUGAAGUCUGAUGUAUGAAAUAAUUUAACAAGUUAAAACUUUCAGCAACGGAUCUCUUGGUUCCCACAUCGAUGAAGAACGCAGC